AGAGUUUGAUCCUGGCUCAGGAUGAACGCUAGCUACAGGCUUAACACAUGCAAGUCGAGGGGCAGCGGGAUUGAAGCUUGCUUCAAUUGCCGGCGACCGGCGCACGGGUGAGUAACGCGUAUCCAACCUUCCGUUUACUCGGGGAUAGCCUUUCGAAAGAAAGAUUAAUACCCGAUGGUAUGGUAAGAUUGCAUGGUAAUACCAUUAAAGAUUUAUCGGUAAACGAUGGGGAUGCGUUCCAUUAGGUAGUAGGCGGGGUAACGGCCCACCUAGCCUACGAUGGAUAGGGGUUCUGAGAGGAAGGUCCCCCACAUUGGAACUGAGACACGGUCCAAACUCCUACGGGAGGCAGCAGUGAGGAAUAUUGGUCAAUGGACGGGAGUCUGAACCAGCCAAGUAGCGUGAAGGAUGAAGGUUCUAUGGAUUGUAAACUUCUUUUAUAAGGGAAUAAAGUGCUUUACGUGUAGAGUUUUGUAUGUACCUUAUGAAUAAGCAUCGGCUAACUCCGUGCCAGCAGCCGCGGUAAUACGGAGGAUGCGAGCGUUAUCCGGAUUUAUUGGGUUUAAAGGGAGCGUAGACGGGAUGUUAAGUCAGCUGUGAAAGUUUGGGGCUCAACCUUAAAAUUGCAGUUGAAACUGGCGUUCUUGAGUGCGGCAGAGGCAGGCGGAAUUCGUGGUGUAGCGGUGAAAUGCUUAGAUAUCACGAAGAACCCCUAUUGCGAAGGCAGCCUGCUGGACCGUAACUGACGUUGAUGCUCGAAAGUGUGGGUAUCAAACAGGAUUAGAUACCCUGGUAGUCCACACGGUAAACGAUGGAUACUCGCUGUUGGCGAUAUACAGUCAGCGGCCAAGCGAAAGCAUUAAGUAUCCCACCUGGGGAGUACGCCGGCAACGGUGAAACUCAAAGGAAUUGACGGGGGCCCGCACAAGCGGAGGAACAUGUGGUUUAAUUCGAUGAUACGCGAGGAACCUUACCCGGGCUUAAAUUAUGCAUGAAUCAUCCGGAGACAGAUGAGCCGCAAGGCAUGCAUGAAGGUGCUGCAUGGUUGUCGUCAGCUCGUGCCGUGAGGUGUCGGCUUAAGUGCCAUAACGAGCGCAACCCUUUCUGCCAGUUACUAACAGGCAAUGCUGAGGACUCUGGCGGUACUGCCAUCGUAAGAUGUGAGGAAGGUGGGGAUGACGUCAAAUCAGCACGGCCCUUACGUCCGGGGCUACACACGUGUUACAAUGGGGGGGUACAGAAGGCCGCUUGCCGGCGACGGCUGGCCAAUCCUCAAAUCCCCUCUCAGUUCGGACUGGAGUCUGCAACCCGACUCCACGAAGCUGGAUUCGCUAGUAAUCGCGCAUCAGCCACGGCGCGGUGAAUACGUUCCCGGGCCUUGUACACACCGCCCGUCACACCAUGAGAGUCGGGAACACCCGAAGUCCGUAGCCUAACCGCAAGGAGGGCGCGGCCGAAGGUGGGUUUGAUAAUUGGGGUGAAGUCGUAACAAGGUAACC
RNAcentral lists this ribosomal RNA (1499 nucleotides) under uncultured bacterium. RNAcentral describes it as "bacterial SSU rRNA". It matches the Rfam family "Bacterial small subunit ribosomal RNA". The record is from RNAcentral.